RNAcentral lists this long non-coding RNA (299 nucleotides) under Apteryx owenii (little spotted kiwi). RNAcentral's name for it is "lncRNA (ENSAOWG00000004285.1)". The record is from RNAcentral. Lineage: Eukaryota; Metazoa; Chordata; Aves; Apterygiformes; Apterygidae.
UUCCGGCAAGAAGUAAGAUGUUUUCAAUUGCUUGAUGAGGAAGAACGGAGUAGAAAGAAGGAAAAAAUUUCUGGAGAAAAGAAGAGAUGGCAAAGCACAGAGCAGUGUUUAAAGAAGCAGAAAAGAAGUGAUAGAUACCUCUAUGAUCUUCAUUAUGUGAGUGUGCUUGAUUUGAUUUUUAAAAUUUGCUGCCAGCAUAAAUUCUCUAAAAUUAACUUAAAAUUGGUUGAUUGUCGGCAAAAUUGCUACUGAAGAGAAAAUAGGCACUACCAUGAUUUAGUAGGAUUCAUUGGGGCUUA